UUAAAAUUGUCUUGUCUGUCUGAUUGUUUUCUUUUUUCCUAGAUGGUUCCAGAAAAAAUAAAUCCAAUUCUUUGUGAGUGUCUACUUUGGAAAUUUGUUGUUUUUUUUUUUUUUUUUCCCUUCUUUGUCAUUCUCUGUGUGAAUUCCAAGGGGCUGCUGAAGAAAAUUUUCUGGGAGCAAAAGGAAGAGAAGAGUCAGUGAAAGACUCAGUUUGCUUUUACUAACGUAACUCUUUCUUACUUGUGGGUGAGCUAUCAGUCAGCCAGCAAUGGGAUUAUCGUUGAAAGCUCACCUAGCUCCUUGACCUCAGGAAACAAGAGUGGACUUCCCCACCAGCCAGCCUCACCCAAGUUCUGCUGCAGAGGCUUUUCCUCCCACACCACCACUGCCCAUCAGGGGUCGGGGCCAGCCUUCUGUGCACAGGGUGCUAGCACUCCCAGAUGGCCUCAACUGAAGGAGGAGAAGUCCAUUUGCGGCAGUGUGCACAGUUUCCAGGAGACUUUGGCCCCUGUCCAAGGGUGAUGUGAGGCUAAGGAGAGGCUUGCCCUUGGCUCUCAUGCUUCUGUCCCGGACAUUGCCUCGCAGUAUUUUCCAAUGCAGCCUCCUUCCUCUUCCUUCCUCUCUGUCCCGCACACGCUGUCAACCUCGGCUUCAACCAGGUAACUGCCGUCUGGUCCCCCUUUGUUAAGGCAUAAACUCCAGGAUAAUCUAUUUCCAUUAUCUUAAGUCCAGCUUGGAAGUACACAACUGAACAGUAUUUGGUUAUUCUUCAGCUUUCUCACCAACUAGUCCAGAUGUUGUUAUUGCCCAUGACCUCUUGGUUUUCCUCGGAAACAGCCUAAUCAGAGGCUCAGGGAACAGAGCUGGGAGAUCCAGAUGAUAUGGUUAGUGUUCUCAGACUAGAGAAUGAAUCUUUCUCCAAUGGGAUGUCCCCAGGGGCACGUCCUAGACAAGCCAGACCUGAGAAAAGAGAAAUCGAUUCAUUUUAGCUAGCUUGCACGUGUGCCUCUCCUGCAUACCCCGAAUCCCCCGCCCCCUGCCCAUAACACCCGUAUCAGGUUUUGAACUUCCCAGCCUCAGUCGUCUCCUCUGUCUCUCUUCUCACGUGGACCCCCUCCUUUGUUGCCUGGCAACGAAAGCCUGUAUAGCAAACUGCUGUCGCUUUCCUAUAGGUCAGUGAGAAAACACCCAAAGCCCCCACAUCAGCACACUUUCCACCCGUGCAAAGAGUGGUGCUACCAAGUGAUAGAAGGAUGAGAGAAAAGCUGAGGGGGCCCAAGACAAUGUCUGUCUGCUUUACAGUUUUUCCUGGGGUCAUUCUUGAGAAUCUUCAACCAUUUCUCUUCAGCUCUCUCCAGCAGUACAAGCUGUUCACAAAGGUGCCA
Molecule: long non-coding RNA, 1385 nt
Filed under: Felis catus (domestic cat)
Lineage: Eukaryota; Metazoa; Chordata; Mammalia; Carnivora; Felidae
Description: lncRNA (ENSFCAG00000052460.1)
Source: RNAcentral